This 940-nucleotide ribosomal RNA is filed under the name gamma proteobacterium H23. RNAcentral's name for it is "bacterial SSU rRNA". It matches the Rfam family "Bacterial small subunit ribosomal RNA", at positions 38 to 979 of the family's 1533-position model. The record is from RNAcentral. Lineage: Bacteria; Pseudomonadati; Pseudomonadota; Gammaproteobacteria.
UGCGCAGGCUAACACAUGCAAGUCGAACGGUAACAUUUCUAGCUUGCUAGAAGAUGACGAGUGGCGGACGGGUGAGUAAUACUUAGGAAUAUGCCUUUGUGUGGGGGAUAACCAUUGGAAACGAUGGCUAAUACCGCAUAACGUCUUCGGACCAAAGGGGGCCUUGGCUCCCGCGCAAAGAGUAGCCUAAGCGAGAUUAGCUUGUUGGUGAGGUAAAGGCUCACCAAGGCGACGAUCUCUAGCUGUUCUGAGAGGAAGAUCAGCCACACUGGAACUGAGACACGGUCCAGACUCUACGGGAGGCAGCAGUGGGGAAUAUUGCACAAUGGGGGAAACCCUGAUGCAGCCAUGCCGCGUGUGUGAAGAAGGCCUUCGGGUUGUAAAGCACUUUCAGUUGUGAGGAAAGGUUAACGGUUAAUACCCGUUAGCUGUGACGUUAGCAACAGAAGAAGGACCGGCUAACUCCGUGCCAGCAGCCGCGGUAAUACGGAGGGUCCGAGCGUUAAUCGGAAUUACUGGGCGUAAAGCGCACGCAGGCGGUUUGUUAAGCUAGAUGUGAAAGCCCUGGGCUCAACCUGGGAAUUGCAUUUAGAACUGGCAGGCUAGAGUUUUGGAGAGGGGAGUGGAAUUCCAGGUGUAGCGGUGAAAUGCGUAGAUAUCUGGAGGAACAUCAGUGGCGAAGGCGACUCCCUGGUCAGUAACUGACGCUCAUGUGCGAAAGUGUGGGUAGCGAACAGGAUUAGAUACCCUGGUAGUCCACACCGUAAACGCUGUCUACUAGCUGUUUGUGGAUUUAAUCCGUGAGUAGCGAACUAACGCGAUAAGUAGACCGCCUGGGGAGUACGGCCGCAAGGUUAAAACUCAAAUGAAUUGACGGGGGCCCGCACAAGCGGUGGAGCAUGUGGUUUAAUUCGAUGCAACGCGAAGAACCUUACCUACU